CUUGAUUUCUUUCCUUGGACAAGAAACCCUUAACGUUUCUUAUUCAUAACGCUUGGUUUCUUAUUCACAAGGCUUGGUAAAGGAAAUCCAAUACGUUGUGCCCUAACCCAUGAUCGGAGAGGACCGGAGAUGUUGAUGGACUGAAACCGAAGAGUGGAGGCGAGGACGAGGAAGUGGAAGAAAGGGACGUGAGGAUUCGCUGGAGCAUUACCGAUAGGGUUUGAGUAGGUAUGUUUUUGUUCCUUCUUUUCAGUUUGGUAGCUGUCGCUGCAGUGGGUAUUCUCGGGUUAGAUUACUUAGGGUUUGGG
RNAcentral lists this long non-coding RNA (308 nucleotides) under Arachis ipaensis. RNAcentral's name for it is "long non-coding RNA (AIPA_LNC001119)". The record is from RNAcentral. Lineage: Eukaryota; Viridiplantae; Streptophyta; Magnoliopsida; Fabales; Fabaceae.